This 441-nucleotide ribosomal RNA is filed under the name uncultured bacterium. RNAcentral's name for it is "partial 16S ribosomal RNA". It matches the Rfam family "Bacterial small subunit ribosomal RNA", at positions 338 to 795 of the family's 1533-position model. The record is from RNAcentral.
CCUACGGGUGGCUGCAGUGGGGAAUAUUGCGCAAUGGGCGAAAGCCUGACGCAGCGACGCCGCGUGAGCGAUGGAGUACUUCGGUAUGUAAAGCUCUGUCAGCAGGGAAGAGAAUGACGGUACCUGACCAAGAAGCCCCGGCUAAAUACGUGCCAGCAGCCGCGGUAAUACGUAUGGGGCAAGCGUUAUCCGGAUUUACUGGGUGUAAAGGGAGCGUAGGCGGCUGGGCAAGCCUGAUGUGAAAGCCCGGGGCUCAACCCCGGGACUGCAUUGGGAACUGCCCCGCUCGAGUGCCGGAGGGGCAGGCGGAAUUCCGAGUGUAGCGGUGAAAUGCGUAGAUAUUAGGAGGAACACCAGUGGCGAAGGCGGCCUGCUGGACGGUGUACUGACGCUGAGGCUCGAAAGCGUGGGGAGCAAACAGGAUUAGAUACCCGGGUAGUC